UGAGGAAUAUUGCGCAAUGGACGGAAGUCUGACGCAGCCACGCCGCGUGCAGGAAGACACCCCUCAGGGGCGUAAACUGCUUUUGUACGGGAAGAACACCUCCCCUCGGGGAGGCCUGACGGUACCGUACGAAUAAGGACCGGCUAACUCCGUGCCAGCAGCCGCGGUAAUACGGAGGGUGCAAGCGUUAUCCGGAAUCACUGGGCGUAAAGGGCACGUAGGCGGUCUAGUAAGUCCGAUGUUAAAGCGUGGGGCUCAACCCCAUCACGGCGUUGGAUACUGCUAGGCUUGACGACUGGAGAGGUGAGUAGAAUUACCAGUGUAGCGGUGGAAUGCGUAGAUACUGGUAGGAAUACCCAUUGCGAAGGCAGCUCACUGGACAGUACGUGACGCUGAGGUGCGAAAGUGUGGGGAGCAAACCGGAUUAGAUACCCCCGUAGUCC
Molecule: ribosomal RNA, 443 nt
Filed under: uncultured prokaryote
Description: bacterial SSU rRNA
Rfam family: Bacterial small subunit ribosomal RNA
Source: RNAcentral